GUCUUGUAUAUGCAUGCAUCGAUCAACUAAUUAAUGGCUCAUCUGCCCGGCCAUGUGUCCUACCUAGAACACUUAAUGAAAAAAAAAAGUCCUUCCCACAGCUAAUGCUUAACCUAGCAGCCGCUCGACACAGCAUUGCCCCAAACAGCCAAACUAUACCUCGACAUAGCCCCUCCAAACCCCGACUCUCUCCGAAUCACUCUAACUCACUCCAUAGCUACCCCGACUCACUCCACGGCCCUAAACCUUAAAUCCACCGCCUCUGAAGGCCCGACUCUGGUGCGAAGCUUUCGAAGCCCUAAGUCGGAGAUUUGUCUUCGAAUCUGGUGUUGAGUUCGGGUUCUUCACAAAUCACUCUUUUGAUUUGGGGUUUUGACUAACUGGAGAUUCUGAUAAAGGCUGACGGAAGAUUUCAGUGGAUUGUUGUUGGACGAGAACCUGGUGGCACAAGCUAUCAAGCUACUGAUAGAAACGAAACAUGUUCUAAUAUCAAAUUUAUCAGCUAUCGGAAAUGGAACGCCUGAAGAAUUAGCAGAACAGUUCUGGUUUUCGUUUGUUUUGUUCUCGGUGAAAACAUUGAGUGAGAAGAGUUCUGAUAAUUCACAAAUUGAGAGCUGCUAAGCUGAAGAUCACUGCUAAGGCUUCGGAAGUUGCGCAUACUAUGUAUGCUGUUCUUAAUUAUAUAUCAGUUAUGGUGGUGAAGAUAGUGGUCAUCAGCAGUAUUUUAUCUGGGAUAUCAGCUGUGGUGAGCAAGUUUUGUUCGUGUAAAGUCCCUGGUUGUGUGCUUGGUUUAGGGCGUUUGUGAUUGUGGUUUGGAUUUUGGUUGAUUGGUAGAUUGUAUCUUAAUCUCUAAUGAGCCAACGACCACAAUCUGGUGCUCCUGCUCCCAGAAAGGCAUGGUGCACUGCCCUUUGUUAAAUGUGAACCUGUAGUUUAUACAAUAUUACUGAUUUGCUUUGUUUUGACUCAGAGGAGGUUCAUACCAAAAGCUUGCCCAAAGGCUGAAGUUAAACCGUAUAAACUCCUCACUUUUUGUUCAAACCAAUGUACUUUAUUAUUGAUUAUCCUUUUCUUUUCUGGUUAAUUUGAACAUGACUCACUUGUGUUGUUCUUGAUGUCUCUAUAGCGACCUGGAGGAGGAAGAGCAAGCUAGUCAUGCUGAAAAGGAGAGGGAGUUGCUCAGACAUUUCCAUGAACAAUCUUUGAGGGCAAAGCUGAAAAACGAAAAGAAAGGUAGAGGCUUUUCUCAAGUGGGUUUUUGAGUGGGAUGUUGAAGAAGGCUUAUACCAGAUCCUUCAAUUCCUUGCAGAACAGCCUUGGUCUAAAGAACAAACUAGAUGUUAGAGAACUUGCAAUUCAUUUUGGGUGUGUUCGAAUCAUUCCUGUUGUGCAAAAGGUUUAUACCUGUUUCCUCCAACUGCUGCUACUGUGAGCUCCGCCCUACUCUUGGGUAUAUGCAGUCUCCCUGAUACCAUAUUUAGAAAUGCUGUGGAUAUGGCGCUGGCAGAUUCGGAGUGUAACAAGCAUGAGAAUUCCGAAUUGAGAUUGUCAUGUUUCUGUAACAAGGCUUUAGUCAAUGUUGGUACUGAUUUGGCAAAACUAGUUCCUGGCAGAGUGUCCACUGAGGUAGAUGCACGUCUUGCUUAUGACACGCAUGGAAUUAUAAGGAAGCAUGGCUCUGUGUAUAAGCUUGCGUUUGGACCGAAAGGAUUUGUUGUGGUAUAUAUCAGAUCCUAUUGUUGCAGGGCAUAUUUUUCAAGAAAAUGCAUUUGGUUAUAAUAAGGUUAUUGUGAAGGAAGGGAGACCUUUAAGUUCUGCUUCUUGGUUGCUUCUGUAAGUCAUUGAUGCACUGAAAAAUGUUGCAGUGAGGCAGCGGUGGAUUCUAAGAAUGUUGUAGCUGCCGUAAAUGCAAGUACUUGGAGCACCAAAUGAGAGUAUUUGGCUGCUGCAUAAUUAGCACAACAACUUCCUGUAUUUGGAGCACUGCAACAUCCUAGAACUCUUUCAAUGAGGAAGCCCCAUUACUAUUCUUUAGGCCAUGGAGAGUGCCAAUGUUAUGAAGUGAAGCCUAAUUUUGAAGACAAAAGCUAAGAAGAGCAGGAGAUCAGUGAAUACUUGACUUGGAUUUUUUCUGUUCUCCUAUUUUGUAGAUACAAUUAGCAUUAUCAGACCCAUUUAGAUUGUUAUGGGAUUAUAACAACUAACUAUUAUGAUUAAUUUUCUGUUCUUUUGGUCA
Molecule: long non-coding RNA, 2236 nt
Organism: Rosa chinensis
Lineage: Eukaryota; Viridiplantae; Streptophyta; Magnoliopsida; Rosales; Rosaceae
Exons: 14
Source: RefSeq, a predicted model, not a curated record